This is a long non-coding RNA of Ictalurus punctatus (channel catfish), 1666 nucleotides long. The record is from Ensembl. Lineage: Eukaryota; Metazoa; Chordata; Actinopteri; Siluriformes; Ictaluridae.
AGUGGACUAUGCUCUGAUAACACCACGGCUUCAUAAUUGCAAUGUUUCACCACUGACAAAAGCUCAUAAAUUAUCAUUUAAAAAAUAUUUCCUAGUGUCUGUGGUGCUGCACAAGGUUGUUAAUGUUAGUGUCUGUGGUGUUAGAGGUUGUUAUUAAUGUUACUGUCUGUGGUCCUGGAGGUUGUUAUUAAUGUUACUGUCUGUGGUGUUUGAAGUUGUUAAUGUUAGUGUCUGUGGUGUUGAAGGUUGUUAUUAAUGUUAAUGUCUGUGGUGUUGGAGGUUGUUAAUGUUAGUGUCUGUGGUGUUGGAGGCUGUUAAUGUUAGCGUCUGUGGUGUUGAAGGUUGUUAUUAAUGUUAGUGUCUGUGGUGUUGGAGGUUGUUAAUGUUAGUGUCUGUGGUGUUGGAGGUUGUUAAUGUUAGUGUCUGUGGUGUUAGAGGUUGUUAUUAAUGUUAGUGUCUGUGGUGUUGGAGGUUGUUAAUGUUAGUGUCUGUGGUGUUGGAGGUUGUUAAUGUUAGUGUCUGUGGUGUUAGAGGUUGUUAUUAAUGUUAGUGUCUGUGGUGUUGGAGGUUGUUAAUGUUAGUGUCUGUGGUGUUGGAAGUUGUUAAUGUUAGUGUCUGUAUUGUUUGAAGUUGUUAAUGUUAGUGUCUGUGGUGUUGGACGUUGUUAAUGUUAGUGUCUGUGGUGUUGGAGGUUGUUAAUGUUAGUGUCUGUGGUGUUGGAGGUUGUUAUUAAUGUUACUGUCUGUGGUGUUGGAGGUUGUUAAUGUUAGUGUCUGUAUUGUUGGAAGUUGUUAAUGUUAGUGUCUGUGGUGUUGGAGGUUGUUAAUGUUAGUGUCUGUUGUGUUGGAGGUUGUUAAUGUUAGUGUCAGUUGUGUUGGAGGUUGCUAAUGUUAGUGUCUGUAGUGUUGGAGGUUGUUAAUGUUAGUGUCUGUUGUGUUGGAGGUUGUUAAUGUUAGUGUCUGUGGUGUAGGAGGUUGUUAAUGUUAGUGUCUGUUGUGUUGGAGGAGGUUGUUAAUGUUAGUGUCUGUGGUGUUGGAGGAGGUUGUUAAUGUUAGUGUGUGUGGUGUUGGAGGUUGUUAAUGUUAGUGUCUGUGGUGUUGGAGGUUGUUAAUGUUAGUGUCUGUGGAGUUGGAGGUUGUUAAUGUUAGUGUGUGUGGUGUUGGAGGUUGUUAAUGUUAGUGUCUGUGGUGUUGAAGGAGGUUUUUAAUGUUAGUGCCUGUGGUGCUGGAGGUUGUUAAUGUUAGUGUGUGUGGUGUUGGAGGUUGUUAAUGUUAGUGUCUGUGGUGUUGGAGGAGGUUGUUAAUGUUAGUGUCUGUGGUGUUGGAGGUUGUUAAUGUUAGUGUCUGUGGUGUUGGAGGUUGUUAAUGUUAGUGUCUGUGGUGUUGGAGGAGGUUGUUAAUGUUAGUGUCUGUGGUGUUGGAGGUUGUUAAUGUUAGUGUCUGUGGUGCUGGAGGUUGUUAAUGUUAGUGUCUGUGGUGUUGGACGUUGUUAAUGUUAGUGUCUGUGGUGUUGGAGGAGGUUGUUACUGUUAGUGUCUGUGGUGUUGGAGGUUGUUAAUGUUAGUGUCUGUGGUGUCGGAGGAGGUUGUUACUGUUAGUGUCUGUGGUGUUGGAAUGGUUGAGAAGGUUAAGAGGGCAGUGCUUUCAUUAACUGUGGAGGAAUCUUU